Molecule: long non-coding RNA, 2000 nt
Filed under: Salmo salar (Atlantic salmon)
Lineage: Eukaryota; Metazoa; Chordata; Actinopteri; Salmoniformes; Salmonidae
Description: lncRNA (ENSSSAG00000103984.1)
Source: RNAcentral
GGCUGCGUGUGUGAGAGAGGGCGGGAAACCUGAGUGGCUAAAUCCGGUUUAUUUGAUACAAUAGUGGCAUACAAAAAGUGAGACACCAUGGCUAAGGCAUGGAAAGGCUGGAAUCCUAAACACUUUUUCUUUAUUUUUAAAGUGUAUUUCAUUUAUUCUCCCCUGGAAAAAAAAGGCUACAGCGGUGGCUACAUUUCAUCAGCAUGUCAACGUAUUAUCACCACUGGAUAUAUAGCCUACAGAUGCCUGCCUCGUCACCAAGCGAGUAAGAUAUUUCUCAUCAAAUGCGGCUGGUCUGAGGGACAUCACUUGGAAUGUAGCAUCCAGUGAGGCAUAGAGGAUUGUCAGAGGCAGGCCGGCCCCCAGCAGACAGACGACGAGGACGGUGGUGGUCCUCAACAAGCUGCCGCCGCAUCAGGUUUAUCCUGUACUACAGUGACAUAGUCCAGUUUUCCUGUCUCUGACAUUGUGGAGGUGUGCACAGUGGAAAGAACAUGGACAUCGCGUUUGUCGUGCCAUUUCACUGCCAUUAUCUCCCCGUUUGUUUGGAACUCCACUCCACUUCCACCUCCCCCUUACUCAUUUUCUAUUUGAAUACUGGCAUCCCCUUCCUGUUGGAUCUCACUGUGCCACAGGCCCCUGUGUUCUCCCUCAAAAGGUACUGGAAAAGGGUAGGCUACUGUACCAGUUGUCCACAAAUACAUUUUGUGCCCUUUCUGAGGUAAGGCUGCAGCAUGGUGAUCACCAAGACCCUCAAAAUGCCUUAUAUCUGUGGUGGCGCCGGUGUAGAUGAUCAGGUCCUGUACAUAUUCUGUCAGACAUUCACAUAAAACAAAGAACUUGACUCCAAAUCUGUGGUGCUUUGAUGGGAUGUAUUGGCGGAAUGCAAGCCAUCCUUUUCAAGCCAUGAGAGACUUAUCAAUGCACAAGUUCUUGUCAGGAACAAACACUUUCAAAUGCCCUGGUGAAGCUACCCAAGACAUUUCUAAUUUUGUGAAGGGGAACUGCGAGGUUGGCAGUAGCGUUCUUCACAAAGUGGAGUGCUCUCAGCAAGACAAAGAAGUGGUCCUGGUAGAAAAGGGUCAGGAAAAAGGGGUCUGCAGCAUGGGGUCAGUGGUCCAGUAGUCCAUCACAGAGCACUUCUUCACUAGCCCCAUCAGCAGCACCGUGAUGAGGAAGGUAUACAUUUCACUGAUGGCAGUGUCCACCCAUUUUGAGAGCUUCCCUUUCAUGCCAGGGGCAGUCUUCUCUUUCAGUUCAUGAGAAUACCUGCAAACAAAUAUGAAUAUUUAGUAGGCCAAAGGCAUUCUGAAUUUUGAUACAUUUGAAGAGCCUUGGGUUUUUCUGUAAUAUAAAAAUGGGCAUAGCUGUUUUGUUUGCUGCACCACACUCCACCAAUUCCUCUUCCCCUGAGGAGGGUAGGCAAGGUGCUUUGUAAACCAGACAGGUUGUCAUUGAAGUCUGUCUCUGAUGGUGUGAAGUGACAGGAUCUCCAGCAGCGGGGAACAUCCUCCUCAACUUCAACCUCGUCUCCCUCACAGCCUACAGCAUCUUGGGGAGGUGAAGAUGUUCAUUGCCUGCAAGGUUGGGUGGCACCAUUUUCCUGGACUGUGAGCAUGAGAAGUUCGGGGGGCAGAUAUUCCUUUUCACUAUCUCAUUGAUCCGACUCACUGUUAUGCACAGAUUCUUCAUCAGAAUAAGUAAAUAUUUCUCCUCAUCAGUGAGGCAUUUCCUUUUGAAAUUGGAGAUAAUCGCUAUACUCAAUGGCUAUCUAUCAGUGUCUGUCAAGGGUUACGUUUUCUGUCAGGACUGACUUAGAUUGUAACUAUGGUUACUCUGGAUUGCUAUAUCAGACCCUGAUAAGGGAAUUUAUAUGUUUAAAGUAAUGACUAAAGGAUUCCACCCUGAAAUCAUAUAAAUGUAUGAAACAUGUUAAGAGUCAUAAUUCCAUAAUAUGUGUGACUAGAACAUUGUAUUACUAUGUAGUAAUGUGGGACAAG